This 30-nucleotide non-coding RNA is filed under the name Mus musculus (house mouse). The record is from RNAcentral. Lineage: Eukaryota; Metazoa; Chordata; Mammalia; Rodentia; Muridae.
UGCUGCCUGUUUGGAUGGUCCAGUGUUUGU